Cygnus olor (mute swan) is the source of this 1553-nucleotide RNA transcript. It is a transcript of the gene named parvin beta, with no coding region annotated. The transcript is spliced from 14 exons. Lineage: Eukaryota; Metazoa; Chordata; Aves; Anseriformes; Anatidae. The record is from RefSeq and is a predicted model, not a curated record.
CCCCGCCGCCUGCGGCCUUCCCCGCCGUGGCAGGGCGCUGUGGCCGGCGGCAGCGGCUCCCAGCCCGCCCCCUGCCCUCCGCGCCUCCGAGGCUUGCACGCCCCUGCCCCCACCGCGGCCGGCCGGGAGCUUUCCCCCUCCUUGCCGCUCGCAGGGCUUUGUUCGGCUCCGCGGGACGCUCCAGACCUCCGCACAGGGCACGGCAGGGCUCGGGCCGGCUGCCCCGGUACCCCCCUCCCCAAGGCGAAACCCAUGUCCUCUGCUUCCAUCCGCUCGCCGACGCUGCGGCCCCACAGGAUGAAAAAAGACGAGUCGUUCCUGGGCAAGCUCGGCGGCACCCUGGCGAGGAAGAAGAAAGCCAAGGAGGUGAGUGACCUGCAAGAAGAAGGUAAAAAUGCUAUAAAUGCUCCAAUGAACCCAAGCACUGUGGACAUGCAUCCAGAAGAUACUUUCUUAGAGGAGAAUGAGGAGCGCACUAUGAUUGAUCCUAACUCCAAAGAAGACCCCAAGUUCAAAGAACUGAUCAAGGUUCUAAUUGACUGGAUUAAUGAUGUGCUGGUGGAGGAGAGAAUCAUUGUCAAACAGCUUGAAGAGGACCUUUAUGAUGGGCAGGUGCUGCAGAAGCUGCUAGAAAAAUUGGCUGACCGUAAACUGAAUGUAGCAGAAGUGACGCAAUCUGAAAUUGGUCAGAAACAAAAGUUGCAGACUGUUCUGGAAGCUGUCCAUGAUUUACUUCGACCCCAUGGCUGGACAGUCAAGUGGAACAUUGACUCAAUACAUGGCAAGAAUCUGAUUUCCAUUCUUCACCUUCUGGUAGCUUUGGCAAUGCAUUUCCGGGCUCCCACUCGACUGCCUGAACAUGUGUCUGUACAAGUGGUGGUUGUACGGAAACGCGAAGGCCUUCUUCAGACAACUCAUGUUACAGAGGAGCUGACGACUACAACAGAGAUGAUGAUGGGAAGAUUUGAGCGUGAUGCCUUUGAUACACUCUUUGAUCAUGCACCAGACAAACUCAGCGUAGUCAAAAAGUCUCUGAUCACCUUUGUGAACAAACACUUGAAUAAACUGAAUUUGGAAGUAACUGAGUUAGAAACCCAGUUUGCAGAUGGCGUUUAUUUGGUUUUGCUCAUGGGUCUUCUUGAAGACUAUUUUGUUCCACUUCACAACUUCUACUUAACGCCUGAAAGUUUUGAUCAAAAGGUCCACAAUGUUUCCUUUGCUUUCGAGCUGAUGCAAGAUGGAGGACUCAAAAAACCAAAAGCUCGUCCUGAAGAGGGAACUGGGUUUUGAUGCAGAGGAAGCAAUGAUUGAUUCUGCUCAUGUCUCACUGGGAAUGCUAUGGUAGUAAGCAGCUUUCUGUGAUACCUGGAAAACUUAGAAACAUAUUUCGUAUAUCCAGAUGUUGUCAAUUUGGAUCUGAAGUCUACCCUCAGAGUUCUAUACAAUCUGUUCACAAAAUACAAGAAUGUGGAAUGAUCCUGGAAUCUGCUGAGGUCUUCAUCAUACCAGCCUCCUUAGGCAAAAAAUACAAUAAAAAUACCCUCUGCACACUC